RNAcentral lists this ribosomal RNA (459 nucleotides) under uncultured bacterium. Its description in RNAcentral is "partial 16S ribosomal RNA". It matches the Rfam family "Bacterial small subunit ribosomal RNA", at positions 338 to 795 of the family's 1533-position model. The record is from RNAcentral.
CCUACGGGAGGCAGCAGUGAGGAAUAUUGGUCAAUGGGCGGAAGCCUGAACCAGCCAAGCCGCGUGAGGGAAGAAGGUACAGCGUAUCGUAAACCUCUUUUGUCAGGGACCAAAGGCGGGGACUAGUCCCCGGAUGAGGGUACCUGAAGAAAAAGCAUCGGCUAACUCCGUGCCAGCAGCCGCGGUAAUACGGAGGAUGCGAGGUUUAUCCGGAUUUAGUGGGUUUAAAGGGUGCGCAGGCGGCCGGUUAAGUCAGAGGUAAAAGCCCGGGGCUCAACCCCGGCGAGCCGUUGAAACUGGGGAGCUGGAGUGAGAGAGAAGUACGCGGAAUGCGCGGUGUAGCGGUGAAAUGCUUAGAUAUCGCGCAGAACCCCGAUUGCGAAGGCAGCGUACCGGCUCCACACUGACGCUGAGGCACGAAAGCGUGGGUAUCGAACAGGAUUAGAUACCCCUGUAGUC